Molecule: ribosomal RNA, 457 nt
Filed under: bacterium amp-d-33
Lineage: Bacteria
Description: bacterial SSU rRNA
Rfam family: Bacterial small subunit ribosomal RNA
Source: RNAcentral
CUACACAUGCAGUCGACGGCAGCACAGUAAGAGCUUGCUCUUACGGGUGGCGAGUGGCGGACGGGUGAGGAAUGCAUCGGAAUCUACUCUGUCGUGGGGGAUAACGUAGGGAAACUUACGCUAAUACCGCAUACGACCUACGGGUGAAAGCAGGGGAUCUUCGGACCUUGCGCGAUUGAAUGAGCCGAUGCCCGAUUAGCUAGUUGGCGGGGUAAGAGCCCACCAAGGCGACGAUCGGUAGCUGGUCUGAGAGGAUGACCAACCAUACUGGAACUGAGACACGGUCCAGACUCCUACGGGAGGCAGCGGUGGGGAAUAUUGGACAAUGGGCGCAAGCCUGAUCCAGCCAUACGGCGUGGGUGAAGAAGGCCUUCGGGUUGUAAAGCCCUUUUGUUGGAAAAGAAAAGCAGCCGGUUAAUACCCGGUUGUUCUGACGGCACCAAAAGAAUAAGCACCG